RNAcentral lists this ribosomal RNA (367 nucleotides) under uncultured organism. RNAcentral's name for it is "partial 16S ribosomal RNA". It matches the Rfam family "Bacterial small subunit ribosomal RNA", at positions 527 to 896 of the family's 1533-position model. The record is from RNAcentral.
GGAGGGUCCAAGCGUUAUCCGGAAUCAUUGGGUUUAAAGGGUCCGUAGGCGGGCGAUUAAGUCAGAGGUGAAAUCCCACAGCUCAACUGUGGAACUGCCUUUGAUACUGGUUGUCUUGAGUUAUAGUGAAGUAGAUAGAAUGUGUAGUGUAGCGGUGAAAUGCAUAGAUAUUACACAGAAUACCGAUUGCGAAGGCAGUCUACUAACUGUAUACUGACGCUAAUGGACGAAAGCGUGGGGAGCGGACAGGAUUAGAUACCCUGGUAGUCCACGCCGUAAACGAUGGUCACUAAUUGUUGGGGGUUUACCUCAGUGAUUAAGAGAAAUUGAUAAGUGACCCACCUGGGGAGUACGAUCGCAAAGAUUG